Molecule: unclassified non-coding RNA, 1430 nt
Filed under: Haliotis rubra (blacklip abalone)
Lineage: Eukaryota; Metazoa; Mollusca; Gastropoda; Lepetellida; Haliotidae
Description: mAM domain-containing glycosylphosphatidylinositol anchor protein 1-like, transcript variant X3
Source: RNAcentral
UUGUGGCGAAUGUGUGCUGGGCUGUCUGUUCAGCGUCGACGUUGUAUCGGGACUUGACUGACGGGCUCUGCAAGCCUUUCAUUGUGGUACACGUUCCCUGUGUCCUACAACCUCACAGUGACAAGCCAUCUUUGACAGAGAAAGUGGGAACUACUGCGCCGCCCAAAAUUGUUGGAUUUGGAUGUACAUUUGAUCAGUUUCACACGAAAGACGAGGGAGUUUAUCGGAGGUCGUCACGCAUGGGUUGUGUUGAAGUUAUUUACUUUUUAAAACUCACGGAUCCUUUACACUGACGGUAGGUGUACGAGCUCUAUGUAGCCCUACAAACAGAUUUCGUUGGUAUUGUUGUUGAUGUCGCAGUUGUAAACGCUGACGUUUCAACAUGCGGUGUCAGUUUUGUGUAUUGGUUGUGCUGACGCUGUCUGGGGCAGUGUCUAGCUCAAAGAAAGAUAUUCAGAUUGAUGGAUGUUCGUUCAAGAGCGGCGAGUGCUCCUACACCAUACAACUCUCCAACAUUGACGGGUACAGCUGCAAGAGCAUGGUGGGACAACCGCUAGGGCGAAGCAUGACACAGCUCCUUGGGGUCGACGGUCAAGCGCAAAAUGACGUCGUUACCAAAGUCGACUCAAUCAAGGAAAACUUUGAACAGGUUAAAGAAAAACACGAGGUAAGGAUUAAGGAGCUGGAGAACUCUGUACAGGAGUUAUUGGGCACUGACAAACGGCCAUACGAUAGGCGGAAGACCGUCCCUAACUUAACGGGUAAAUCCUCCGCUUCUCGGGACCGGGUUCUGUCUGGUCUGACUCGGAAUUUUGAAUAUUUAAGAGAGCAGAUAAAAAGAAAAGAGCAUGAUUUGCUACAAACAGAGGUAAGGUUAAAUGAAACCCGCAAGUCGUUGAAUGACGCCCAACGGGAAGUCCUAAACGUCAACCAGCGUCUCCUUCACGCCGAUAACAAGAUCGCUUCCCUGACUCCGCGAGAGAUCGAUUCUGAAGAACCAGCUAAAGGACAAAACCUUCAAACUUGGGAAAUCUGAAAAGAAUCUGAAUGAAUCAACAGCGAAAGCAGGGUCGCUUGAAAACCGACUUCUGGGAGUAAUAAGGAGUGAGAAUAUUGCGAGCGAGGAUCUGUCUACUUGUAGGAUUCUGUUGAACGAAUCUGCUGCCAAUAAUCUGAAGGGUAAAACAAGGUACUCCGAGCUGCGACGCCGUCAUGACGUCACCAAACAUGAACUGAAGAUCAGAGAAAGGGAGCUCAUCAACUGCUACUCAGCUAAAACUGCCUCCUUUUGUGGGUUUGAAGACCCUUAUGACUGCGGCUUUAUCCAGACCAACGACUCCGACGUCUUCAAUUUGAUAUACUAGAGAGCCAAGGGGUUGAUAACCCCUCGGGCAGCACCGGGCCUUCUAAAGAUCACACCUGUGAUGCGA